Molecule: ribosomal RNA, 403 nt
Filed under: uncultured bacterium
Lineage: Bacteria
Description: partial 16S ribosomal RNA
Rfam family: Bacterial small subunit ribosomal RNA
Source: RNAcentral
GACGAACGCUGGCGGCGUGCCUAAUACAUGCAAGUCGAACGCAGUGGGGACGGGUGAGUAACACGUGGGUAACCUCCCAUCAGAGGGGAUAACCCUUGGAAACAGCUGCUAAACCGAUACUGAUGGAUGGACCCGCGGUGCAUUAGCUAUUGGGUGAGGUAACGGCUCACCAAGGCCACGAUGCAUAGCCGGCCUGAGAGGGUGAUCAGCCACACUGGGACGGAGACACGGCCCAGACUCCUACGGGAGGCAGCAGUAGGGAAUCUUCGGCAAUGGACGAAAGUCUGACCGAGCAACGCCGCGUGUAUGAAGAAGGUUUGCGGAUCGUAAAACUCUGUUGUUAGAGAAGCGGUAUCUAACCAGAAAGCCACGGCUAACUACGUGCCAGCAGCCGCGGUAAUUC